UAGAGACGCUGGCGGCGUGCCUAAUACAUGCAAGUCGAACGCACUGACGUCGACCGAAGCUGCUUGCAGUGGACGUUGAUUGACGUGAGUGGCGGACGGGUGAGUAACACGUGGGUAACCUACCCUUAAGUGGGGGAUAACAUUUGGAAACAGAUGCUAAUACCGCAUAACCAUUCAGACCACAUGGUCUGAAUGUAAAAGACGGCCUUUGGCUGUCACUUUUGGACGGACCCGCGGCGUAUUAGUUAGUUGGUAAGGUAACGGCUUACCAAGACAAUGAUACGUAGCCGACCUGAGAGGGUAAUCGGCCACAUUGGGACUGAGACACGGCCCAAACUCCUACGGGAGGCAGCAGUAGGGAAUCUUCCACAAUGGACGAAAGUCUGAUGGAGCAACGCCGCGUGAGUGAAGAAGGUUUUAGGAUCGUAAAACUCUGUUGUUGGAGAAGAAACAGGGACUAGAGGUAACUGUUAGUCCUUUGACGGUAUCCCAACCAGAAAAGCCACGGCUAACUACGUGCCCAGCAGCCGCGGUAAUACGUAGGUGGCAAGCGUUGUCCCGGAUUUAUUGGGCGUAAAGCGAGCGCAGGCGGUUUUUUAAGUCUGAUGUGAAAGCCUUCGGCUUAACCGAAGAAGUGCAUUAGAAACUGGGAAACUUGAGUGCAGAAGAGGACAGUGGAACUCCAUGUGUAGCGGUGAAAUGCGUAGAUAUAUGGAAGAACACCAGUGGCGAAGGCGGCUGUCUGGUCUGUAACUGACGCUGAGGCUCGAAAGUAUGGGGAGCGAACAGGAUUAGAUACCCUGGUAGUCCAUACCGUAAACGAUGAAUGCUAAGUGUUGGAGGGUUUCCGCCCUUCAGUGCUGCAGCUAACGCAUUAAGCAUUCCGCCUGGGGAGUACGACCGCAAGGUUGAAACUCAAAGGAAUUGACGGGGGCCCGCACAAGCGGUGGAGCAUGUGGUUUAAUUCGAAGCAACGCGAAGAACCUUACCAGGUCUUGACAUCCUUUGACCACUGUAGAGAUACAGCUUUCCCUUCGGGGACAAAGUGACAGGUGGUGCAUGGUUGUCGUCAGCUCGUGUCGUGAGAUGUUGGGUUAAGUCCCGCAACGAGCGCAACCCUUAUGACUAGUUGCCAGCAUUUAGUUGGGCACUCUAGUAAGACUGCCGGUGACAAACCGGAGGAAGGUGGGGAUGACGUCAAAUCAGCAUGCCCCUUAUGACCUGGGCUACACACGUGCUACAAUGGUCGGUACAACGAGUUGCGAACCCGCGAGGGUAAGCUAAUCUCUUAAAGCCGAUCUCAGUUCGGAUUGUAGGCUGCAACUCGCCUACAUGAAGCCGGAAUCGCUAGUAAUCGCGGAUCAGCACGCCGCGGUGAAUACGUUCCCGGGCCUUGUACACACCGCCCGUCACACCAUGAGAGUUUGUAACACCCGAAGUCGGUGGGGUAACCCUUUUAGGGAACUAGCCGCCUAAGGUGGGACAGAUGAUUGGGGGAAGUC
RNAcentral lists this ribosomal RNA (1502 nucleotides) under Loigolactobacillus coryniformis. Its description in RNAcentral is "bacterial SSU rRNA". It matches the Rfam family "Bacterial small subunit ribosomal RNA". Lineage: Bacteria; Bacillati; Bacillota; Bacilli; Lactobacillales; Lactobacillaceae. The record is from RNAcentral.